CCGGCACGGGUGAGUAACACGUAUCCAACCUGCCGUCUACUCUUGGACAGCCUUCUGAAAGGAAGAUUAAUACAAGAUGGCAUCAUGAGUUCACAUGUUCACAUGAUUAAAGGUAUUUUCCGGUAGACGAUGGGGAUGCGUUCCAUUAGAUAGUAGGCGGGGUAACGGCCCACCUAGUCAACGAUGGAUAGGGGUUCUGAGGGGAAGGUCCCCCACAUUGGAACUGAGACACGGUCCAA
RNAcentral lists this ribosomal RNA (239 nucleotides) under uncultured bacterium. RNAcentral's name for it is "partial 16S ribosomal RNA". It matches the Rfam family "Bacterial small subunit ribosomal RNA", at positions 100 to 334 of the family's 1533-position model. The record is from RNAcentral.